UACGGAGGGUGCGAGCGUUGUCCGGAAUCACUGGGCGUAAAGGGCGCGUAGGUGGCGCGGGAAGUCAACGGUGAAAGUUCGGGGCUCAACCCUGAAUCGGCCGUCGAUACUCCCGGGCUCGAGCACUGUAGAGGCAGAUGGAAUUCCGGGGUGUAGCGGUGGAAUGCGUAGAGAUCCGGAAGAACACCGGUGGCGAAGGCGGUCUGCUGGGCAGUUGCUGACACUGAGGCGCGACAGCGUGGGGAGCAAACAGGG
This 255-nucleotide ribosomal RNA is filed under the name uncultured bacterium. RNAcentral's name for it is "partial 16S ribosomal RNA". It matches the Rfam family "Bacterial small subunit ribosomal RNA", at positions 524 to 777 of the family's 1533-position model. The record is from RNAcentral.